This 76-nucleotide transfer RNA is filed under the name Sphaerodactylus townsendi. RNAcentral describes it as "tRNA-Ala". It matches the Rfam family "tRNA". From Rfam's summary of the family: Transfer RNA (tRNA) molecules are approximately 80 nucleotides in length. Lineage: Eukaryota; Metazoa; Chordata; Lepidosauria; Squamata; Sphaerodactylidae. The record is from RNAcentral.
GGAGGAUACUAUGGCUCAGGGGUAGAGCAUCUGCUUGGCAUGCAUAAGAUCAUGGGUUUGAUCCCCAGCAUCUCCA